UACGUAGGGCGCAAGCGUUAUCCGGAAUUAUUGGGCGUAAAGAGCUCGUAAGCGGUUUGUCGCGUCUGCCGUGAAAGUCCGGGGCUCAACUCCGGAUCUGCGGUGGGUACGGGCAGACUAGAGUGAUGUAGGGGAGACUGGAAUUCCUGGUGUAGCGGUGAAAUGCGCAGAUAUCAGGAGGAACACCGAUGGCGAAGGCAGGUCUCUGGGCAUUAACUGACGCUGAGGAGCGAAAGCAUGGGGAGCGAACAGG
Molecule: ribosomal RNA, 253 nt
Filed under: uncultured bacterium
Lineage: Bacteria
Description: partial 16S ribosomal RNA
Rfam family: Bacterial small subunit ribosomal RNA
Source: RNAcentral